CUCUUUCUCUCUUUUCUUCUUUGAAGGUGUUCCUUUGAUCCUUGAAGAGAGCUCUUGAACUUUGAACUUAGAAGUAAUUCUUGGAGGGAUUAGAGGCUACUUGGUGUGGGAAGUCAGCUGGUAAUUUCGUUGUGGUUGAGGUUAUACCGGUAGGCUCGAGAGUAAGGAUCGCGCUCGGGGUCGCCAUACGCUAUCUGCUCGGGACUCGAGGUAAGGGAAAGGCGAAGCUGGACCAGCCAUGAGUUGGAGAGCUAUAGGGGCGGCGUGUACAUAUGCAGCUGCUUGACCGCCACAACCAAGGAUUCAAAGAGGGUCUAGAGUGAAAAUCUAAUUUUGCCGCUUAGGCUUGUGUUGUAACUACCCUUUGGAGUUGUAAUGCUUGUAAACAUUUAUUUUGGGAUCCCAUAUAUAGACUUAAAAUUUUAAAUGAAA
Long non-coding RNA from Humulus lupulus (European hop), 432 nucleotides. RefSeq lists it as uncharacterized. The record is from RefSeq and is a predicted model, not a curated record. NCBI's taxonomy places the organism in Eukaryota, Viridiplantae, Streptophyta, Magnoliopsida, Rosales, Cannabaceae. The transcript has 3 exons.